RNAcentral lists this long non-coding RNA (619 nucleotides) under Homo sapiens (human). RNAcentral describes it as "non-protein coding lnc-PIK3R1-5:2". The record is from RNAcentral. Lineage: Eukaryota; Metazoa; Chordata; Mammalia; Primates; Hominidae.
GCACUGUGUCUAUGUCUUGCCACCGGACCCCAGCAGCAGGGGGUCAGGAAAUGACCUGGGCUUGGUUCUAGCCAAAAGGAGAGGUUCAGAAUCCCUUCUAUCCCCUCUAGACCCUUCCAUUCACCAGCCACUUCUUCCUCACUUUGCCCACCAUCUCCACCCUGGAAGCCAAGCCUCAAAACAGACUAUAUCUGGAAACUGCUUACCUUGUGGACAGGAUGUGAAAUAUUUUAAACAUCCUAACGCUACAACAGUGAUCAGUGGUUUUAUUUUAUGUCAACACUGAAGUGUGAGGACCAAAUGUAAAUAGAUUUUUAAUCACAACAUUAUUUCCAGAAUGGCAGGAGAAUUUAAUUUUAGGAUUUGGGAAGAAGGAAUUAUUGUUAAGUAUCUCAGAAGAAUCAAGAUUUGGGAGCAGGAAGUGAAGACUUAUCCAAAUUAAAGAUUGUGCUAAUUUAUUACAACCAUGUAUACUGAAAACAAGCAUGUUGGGGUGGGGAAGAAAGACCUGAUCUUGUCACAGGAGUAGUGCUGGUGAGGAGAGGACAACAGACCUAGUGAUGUUUCUUUCACCCUCCCCAAUUCCCACCACCUAGAAAAUGAAGACUGACAACUAUUA